This is a non-coding RNA of Macaca mulatta (Rhesus monkey), 147 nucleotides long. The record is from Rfam. NCBI's taxonomy places the organism in Eukaryota, Metazoa, Chordata, Mammalia, Primates, Cercopithecidae.
CCGCCCAGCAGGCGACGUUGCGGGCGCUGGGCGCCAGGAGAGGUUCCCGGAGCCGACCUUCCGGCUGGCCGCUCUGUGACUGCUUCCCGGCUCUGCCCUCUUGGCUGAAGUCCCCGCUGCCGGGCGCGGGCCUCAGGUAACGGUGGU